This 666-nucleotide ribosomal RNA is filed under the name uncultured Vibrionaceae bacterium. Its description in RNAcentral is "bacterial SSU rRNA". It matches the Rfam family "Bacterial small subunit ribosomal RNA", at positions 8 to 671 of the family's 1533-position model. The record is from RNAcentral. Lineage: Bacteria; Pseudomonadati; Pseudomonadota; Gammaproteobacteria; Vibrionales; Vibrionaceae.
AGAGUUUGAUCAUGGCUCAGAUUGAACGCUGGCGGCAGGCCUAACACAUGCAAGUCGAGCGGUAACAUGUCUAGCUUGCUAGAUGAUGACGAGCGGCGGACGGGUGAGUAAUGCUUGGGGAUCUGCCUUAGAGUGGAGGAUAACCAUUGGAAACGAUGGCUAAUACUGCAUAGUAUCUGCGGAUUAAAGGGGGCUUAGGCUCUUGCUUUAAGAUGAACCCAAGUGGGAUUAGCUAGUUGGUGAGGUAAUGGCUCACCAAGGCGACGAUCCCUAGCUGGUCUGAGAGGAUGAUCAGCCACACUGGAACUGAGACACGGUCCAGACUCCUACGGGAGGCAGCAGUGGGGAAUAUUGCACAAUGGGCGAAAGCCUGAUGCAGCCAUGCCGCGUGUGUGAAGAAGGCCCUAGGGUUGUAAAGCACUUUCAGUCAGGAGGAAAGGUUAGUAGUUAAUACCUGCUAGCUGUGACGUUACUGACAGAAGAAGCACCGGCUAACUUCGUGCCAGCAGCCGCGGUAAUACGAGGGGUGCAAGCGUUAAUCGGAAUUACUGGGCGUAAAGCGAGCGUAGGCGGCUGAAUAAGCUGGAUGUGAAAAACCGGGGCUCAACCUCGGCCGUGCAUUCAGAACUGUUUAGCUAGAGUCCUGUAGAGGGGGGUAGAAUUUCA